CAGUGGCACCUGACUACCUCAGCAAGAAGACAAAGAAGAAGAGGACUAAAAGCCAAAGAGAGGCAAUAGCAGCAGACAAAAUGCCAAAUAAAAGAUAGCACUAAGGAGGGAAAUGGACGGGGACGGAGACAAGGAAGAACACAAAGGAAGAGCUAACAUCAAACACUUAAUGCCUGCCUGGGACCAAAUAUAAUGCGAGAUGGAGCAG
Molecule: long non-coding RNA, 208 nt
Organism: Myxocyprinus asiaticus (Chinese sucker)
Lineage: Eukaryota; Metazoa; Chordata; Actinopteri; Cypriniformes; Catostomidae
Exons: 3
Source: RefSeq, a predicted model, not a curated record